Molecule: ribosomal RNA, 284 nt
Filed under: Flavobacteriales bacterium
Lineage: Bacteria; Pseudomonadati; Bacteroidota; Flavobacteriia; Flavobacteriales
Description: partial 23S ribosomal RNA
Rfam family: Bacterial large subunit ribosomal RNA
Source: RNAcentral
GACAGUUCGGUCUCUAUCUGUAGUGGGCGCUUGAUAUUUGAGAGGACCUCCCUCUAGUACGAGAGGACCGGGGGGGACGAACCUCUAGUGUACCUGUUGUGACGCCAGUUGCAUCGCAGGGUAGCUAUGUUCGGAUGAGAUAAGCACUGAAAGCAUCUAAGUGCGAAACUUACCUCAAGAUGAGAUAUCAUUGAGAACCGUUAAAGACGAUGACGUUGAUAGGCUGCAGGUGUAAAGACAGUAAUGUCAAAGCCGAGCAGUACUAAUUGUUCGAAGCUUUCAAU